AUUGAACGCUGGCGGCAGGCCUAACACAUGCAAGUCGAACGAGUGGCGGACGGGCGAGUAAUGUCUGGGAAACUGCCUGAUGGAGGGGGAUAACUUAUGGAAAAGGUAGCUAAUACCGCAUACCAUCAGAUGGGCCCAGAUGGGAUUAGCUUGUUGGUGGGGUAACGGCUUACCAAGGCGACGAUCCAUAGCUGGUCUGAGAGGAUGACCAGCCACACUGGAACUGAGACACGGUUCAGAUUCUGACGGGAGGCAGCAGUGGGGAAUAUUGCACAAUGGGCGCAAGCCUGAUGCAGCCAUGCCGCGUGUAUGAAGAAGGCCUUCGGGUUGUAAAGUACUUUCAGCGGGGAGGCGUUACCCGCAGAAGAAGCACCGGCUAACUCCGUGCCAGCAGCCGCGGUAAUUC
RNAcentral lists this ribosomal RNA (406 nucleotides) under uncultured bacterium. RNAcentral's name for it is "partial 16S ribosomal RNA". It matches the Rfam family "Bacterial small subunit ribosomal RNA", at positions 30 to 526 of the family's 1533-position model. The record is from RNAcentral.